RNAcentral lists this unclassified non-coding RNA (314 nucleotides) under Hevea brasiliensis (rubber tree). Lineage: Eukaryota; Viridiplantae; Streptophyta; Magnoliopsida; Malpighiales; Euphorbiaceae. The record is from RNAcentral.
AUGUCCAGGAGGAUACCUUCACAUUCAUGUGAUAAUCUUGAGCACAAAAGAAUUCCACUAAAAAGAACUUUUCAAAAAAAUAAUCUAGAACAUAAGUCAUCAACCUAGAUUAGAUGCCAUCUGCCACAAAAACAUUUAUGCAUAAUAGCCAACAACUAAAAUCACAGAUGUGUAGGAAGUAAGAUGACACAUUAUUCACAAGGUGCAACAAUUUUCAGAUGGUGCUGCUCCAUAAGCUCCACAAAUUAAACUAUGCUACAAUAAUCACAAAGCUCUUCAAGCAGCUAGUACAAUGGGCAAGUCACCACCAAAUA